Molecule: long non-coding RNA, 400 nt
Organism: Scomber japonicus (chub mackerel)
Lineage: Eukaryota; Metazoa; Chordata; Actinopteri; Scombriformes; Scombridae
Exons: 3
Source: RefSeq, a predicted model, not a curated record
UCACAGUUGAGGAUGCUGGUCUUUACAUCUGCAGACAGAACGACCGAUCAGGACGACAACAAGGUCCAGACACUGUGGUUAUUCUGUCUGUUGUUAGCAUGACUGAACAUAAGGACGCUGAUAAGGUGACGUUAAGCUGCUCUGUGUCAAUAUAUGAACAGUGCAGACACACAGUGAAGUGGCUGUAUAAAGGAAGUGAUUUGGACAUAAAUACCAGAGACAGACAGACAUCACAAUCUACCUGCUCAGCCACUGUGGUGUUGUUGACUUCUCAUUUUAUUUACACAUCAAAUUCUAAGUAUUUGCAGUGUGAAGUCACAGAUCUCAACAGUAAAGAAGUGCAGCUGUAUAACUUCAGUCCCCAAUCAUCAGGUGAGGCUGCAACAACAACAGAGCCUGC